Molecule: ribosomal RNA, 253 nt
Filed under: uncultured bacterium
Lineage: Bacteria
Description: partial 16S ribosomal RNA
Rfam family: Bacterial small subunit ribosomal RNA
Source: RNAcentral
UACGGGGGGGGCAAGCGUUGUUCGGAAUUACUGGGCGUAAAGGGCGCGUAGGCGGCCUGCUAAGUCGGAUGUGAAAUCCCUCGGCUCAACCGAGGAACUGCAUCCGAUACUGGCGGGCUUGAAUCCGGGAGAGGGGUGUGGAAUUCCCGGUGUAGCAGUGAAAUGCGUAGAUAUCGGGAGGAACAUCUGUGGCGAAGGCGACACCCUGGACCAGCACUGACACUGAGGCACGAAAGCGUGGGGAGCGAACAGG